GGCCAGUCGAACGACUCGGACUAUGGCGAGAAGUGGCAAACUGCUCAGUAACACGUAGCUAACCUACCCUCAGGACGGGGACAACCCCGGGAAACUGGGGUUAAUCCCCGAUAGGCGUGGAUUCCUGGAAUGGUGUCACGCCGAAACGUUAACACACCAUGUUUGUGUACACGCCUGAGGACGGGGCUGCGGCCGAUCAGGCAGUUGGUGAGGUAACGGCUCACCAAACCUUUGACCGGUACGGGCCGUGAGAGCGGUAGCCCGGAGAUGGACACUGAGACAAGGGUCCAGGACCUACGGGUCGCAGCCGGUACGAAACCUCCACAAUGCACGCAAGUGCGAUGGGGUUACCUCGAGUGCCGCCUGAAGAAGGCGGCUUUUCCAUUGUGUAAUGAGCCGUGGGAAUAAGGGGGGGGCAAGGCUGGUGUCAGCCGCCGCGGUAACACCAGCCCCCCGAGUGGUGGGGAUGUUUAUUUGGCCUAAAACGUCCGUAGCCAGCUAGGUAAAUCUCUCGUUAAAUCCAGCGUCCUAAGCGUUGGGCUGCGAGAGAGACUGCCAAGCUAGAGGGUGGGAGAGGUCAGCGGUAUUUCUGGGGUAGGGGCGAAAUCCAUUGAUCCCAGGAGGACCACCAGUGGCGAAGGCUGCUGACUAGAACACGCCUGACGGUGAGGGACGAAAGCUGGGGUAGCGAAUCGGAUUAGAUACCCGAGUAGUCCCAGCCGUAAACGAUGCA
RNAcentral lists this ribosomal RNA (733 nucleotides) under uncultured archaeon. RNAcentral describes it as "bacterial SSU rRNA". It matches the Rfam family "Archaeal small subunit ribosomal RNA", at positions 52 to 764 of the family's 1478-position model. The record is from RNAcentral.